GCAAGCUGCAGAGCUCAAGCCUGGACUUGGGGCCCCCACGUGCUGCCAGGGGAGGGUCUGGGCCCAGGUGGCCCCUCUCCUGAGACCUUAAGAGAAUCAGAUUCCCAAGGAAAUCUCAAGGUUUUUGCAUGUUGACAAUAGAUUCACUUUUUCCCCAAAACACAGGAGGGAUGAACUAGACACCUUCCUGGCUGGUUUUGGUCCACGGUGUAAACUCUGACUCACAGAAAAUCAUUCUGCAAAGUCGCGGAUUCUUUACCCGCUGAGUCAAGGGGGAAGCUCGCAUAUACAGAUGGAUGUGUGCAUUUAGGAAAUUUGUGCCUUACAACCACUCUGCGAUUAUCUUCGUUCUACAGGUCCUCCUCUGACCUCCGAGGAUGUCUGCUUGUUGGCCGUCCAGCAACUCGAACCCCACCGAGUGCCUCCCUGAGCUCCGUGCUGCGUGAGGACUUACUCAUUUGCUCCUCACGCUGGUCCUGUUCUAUUUCUAAACUGGGAAACAGGCGCAGAGUGGUGAUCAAGUUCAUUAUCUGA
RNAcentral lists this long non-coding RNA (534 nucleotides) under Bos indicus x Bos taurus (hybrid cattle). RNAcentral's name for it is "lncRNA (ENSBIXG00000003437.1)". The record is from RNAcentral. Lineage: Eukaryota; Metazoa; Chordata; Mammalia; Artiodactyla; Bovidae.